AGAACGAACGCUGGCGGCAGGCCUCAAACAUGCAAGUCUAGGGGGUGUAGCAAUACAUCACCGGCGGACGGGUGCGUAACACGUGGGAAUAUACCUUUUGGUUCGGAACAACGCAGGGAAACUUGCGCUAAUACCGAAUGUGCCCUUACGGGGAAAGAUUUAUCGCCAAAGGAUUAGCCCGCGUAGGAUUAGCUAGUUGGUGAGGUAAUGGCUCACCAAGGCUCCGAUCCUUAGCUGUUCUGAGAGGAAGAUCAGCCACACUGGGACUGAGACACGGCCCAGACUCCUACGGGAGGCAGCAGUUGGGAAUCUUGGACAAUGGGGGAAACCCUGAUCCAGCCAUGCCGCGUGAGUGAUGAAGGCCUUCGGGUUGUAAACUCUUUCGACGGGGACGAUAAUGACGGUACCCGUAGAAGAAGCUCCGGCUAACUUCGUGCCAGCAGCCGC
RNAcentral lists this ribosomal RNA (447 nucleotides) under uncultured bacterium. RNAcentral describes it as "SSU rRNA". It matches the Rfam family "Bacterial small subunit ribosomal RNA", at positions 26 to 518 of the family's 1533-position model. The record is from RNAcentral.